This is a long non-coding RNA of Chinchilla lanigera (long-tailed chinchilla), 865 nucleotides long. RefSeq lists it as uncharacterized. Lineage: Eukaryota; Metazoa; Chordata; Mammalia; Rodentia; Chinchillidae. The transcript is spliced from 3 exons. The record is from RefSeq and is a predicted model, not a curated record.
AUACAAUGUACUGCUCAGUUUCUCUGGAGGAGCAGAAUCGACAGAAAGGAAAUGUACAAUUAAGCAAGGGGAUUUAUUAGGUAUCUUACAGACUCAGAAGUGGGAGAAUUCACAACUUUCUUCUGCAUGGCAAAGAGCCAGAGGACCUGCUCAGGGCUGCGUAGUCCAAGAAGAUGAAAGCCAAGGGACCAUGAAUGGAGCCCAGUUCAAGGUGACAGGCCUGGGAGCUCCCUGGAGAGUCCCUGGUAGGAGUCUGCACUGCAAGGCUGAAAAACCAGAGCCUGACCUCAAGAGCAAGGACAGCAAAAGAUGCACCUGCUCAAGGGCGCUGCAGCUCUUGCAAACCGGGCACCAGCUUCAUUCCAUAUUUAUUCCAGUCUGUCGGAUGCUGCCCCCACACCCGGGAUAGGUCUUCCCCUGUGCGUUUGCUGGCCUACGUGCUAAUCAUCCCUGAAAACACUUUACAAACACACCCAGCCUUGAGCUUUAUCCAUCUGAUAGUGUAACCCUUGUACGAGGGAUCCUAGAGGAUGUUGUAUAUCGCAGAAAAUCCACUACAUUGUCGGCUUUUACAGAAGAAAUGGGAGAUACACAUGCAGCAAUCUCAAUGACCAAGGUUACUCAAGCAGAAGUUUUCCAUACUAAUAAAUGUCAGGAAGCAAAUGAUUACCACUUCGAGCACCUCUUACAAUUGUAGAGGCCAAAGCACCUGUGGCUGAGAGGAGUUUGUAAGUGGUAGAAGAGGUUCCAGAAAGUUCUGACAAAGACGACCUACAGAGCUGUGCAUGAAUCCUCCCCGCUCUCAUUCACUUUGCCAGUUACGAUAAAUCACAUUUAUAUUCUAUUUUCUUCAGUCAUUAAACAA